AGUGAACGCUGGCGGUAGGCCUAACACAUGCAAGUCGAACGGCAGCACAGUAAGAGCUUGCUCUUACGGGUGGCGAGUGGCGGACGGGUGAGGAAUACAUCGGAAUCUACUUUUUCGUGGGGGCUAACGUAGGGAAACUUACGCUAAUACCGCAUACGACCUACGGGUGAAAGCAGGGGAUCUUCGGACCUUGCGCGAUUGAAUGAGCCGAUGUCGGAUUAGCUAGUUGGCGGGGUAAAGGCCCACCAAGGCGACGAUCCGUAGCUGGUCUGAGAGGAUGAUCAGCCACACUGGAACUGAGACACGGUCCAGACUCCUACGGGAGGCAGCAGUGGGGAAUAUUGGACAAUGGGCGCAAGCCUGAUCCAGCCAUACCGCGUGGGUGAAGAAGGCCUUCGGGUUGUAAAGCCCUUUUGUUGGGAAAGAAAAGCAGCGGGUUAAUACCCCGCUGUUCUGACGGUACCCAAAGAAUAAGCACCGGCUAACUUCGUG
RNAcentral lists this ribosomal RNA (492 nucleotides) under uncultured bacterium. RNAcentral's name for it is "partial 16S ribosomal RNA". It matches the Rfam family "Bacterial small subunit ribosomal RNA", at positions 29 to 507 of the family's 1533-position model. The record is from RNAcentral.